GUGUGUACCAAUAUGUGCAAGUGUAUUAACACUUUCACAAAUAUUUUCUUCAAAGAAGUUAAGUUAGCUCACUAGGUUCUAAAUGCAUGUACAUAAACAAUGACACCUAGUGGCACUUGAUAACCGUUUAGCCAAAGAAUUUCUCUCUUUAUAGUACAACUAUCUAUUCUAAAUGUGAUCACACCCUCUAUGCUGUCUUGAUCACCAAAACUAAAACCCUAAGCAAUACUUUUGUCUUGAUCUCCAUAGAGUUUUGUUUUUAUCUUUCUUCUUUUCCAUAUUGAGCACUUGAUCAUCUUGUAGUCAUCACCAUCAUUACCAUGAUCAUCACUUGGCAUGUACUAACCUCAUUAAGUCUACACAUACUUAAUAUAGAGAUUAGUACUAGGAUUUCAUCAAUUAUCCAAAACCAAAUUAGGGCUUUCACCGUGCUAUCUUAGUUGCCGAUGUCCUCCUUCCCCUCGUCAACGAGCCUGGCGUCCCCGCGCUACCUUCCUUCAUGAGGGAUCUUUCGCCUCUUCCUUCCUUCUGCCAUCACCAACAUUCUCUACCCUCCGCGCGUCAGCGCCCACCUCGUCUCUAUAAUAUUCACAUCUAAGUGUCACAUCUCCCUUCUCCUCUCUUGUUGAUCUGGAGCAAUGACAGACAUGAUUUUGCAACGUUGGGGUGUACAUAAUUUUUUAAAAAACCUAAGACUAUAUAUAAUAAUAAAUGUGAACAACAAUGUAUAAGACAUUAUUAAUAGUUUUCAAAUUUUCAUCCCCUACUUUUUAGUGCACUCCAACUGAUCUCCUAAAUUUCUUUUACUUAAUAUUGGACUUCCCUCACUUGUC
RNAcentral lists this long non-coding RNA (833 nucleotides) under Sorghum bicolor (sorghum). Its description in RNAcentral is "long non-coding RNA (SBIC_LNC011185)". The record is from RNAcentral. Lineage: Eukaryota; Viridiplantae; Streptophyta; Magnoliopsida; Poales; Poaceae.